This 103-nucleotide microRNA precursor is filed under the name Marmota monax (woodchuck). The record is from RNAcentral. Lineage: Eukaryota; Metazoa; Chordata; Mammalia; Rodentia; Sciuridae.
AGUGGGAUUGCUGGGUUAUAUAGCAAAUAUAUAUUUAACUUCAUAAAGAACUACCAAAUUCUUUUCCAAAGUGGUUCUAUCAUUUUGCACUCCAAGAAGGAAU